Small nuclear RNA from Prionailurus viverrinus (fishing cat), 106 nucleotides. Lineage: Eukaryota; Metazoa; Chordata; Mammalia; Carnivora; Felidae. The record is from RefSeq and is a predicted model, not a curated record.
GUGCUCACUUCAGCAGCACAUAUACUAAAAUUGGAAUGAUACAGGAAGAUUAGCAUCUCCCCUGCACAAGAAUGACACACAAAUUCAUGAAGCAUUCCAUAUUUUU